This 433-nucleotide ribosomal RNA is filed under the name uncultured bacterium. RNAcentral's name for it is "partial 16S ribosomal RNA". It matches the Rfam family "Bacterial small subunit ribosomal RNA", at positions 29 to 507 of the family's 1533-position model. The record is from RNAcentral.
AACGAACGCUGGCGGCAUGCCUAACACAUGCAAGUCGAACGAGACCUUCGGGUCUAGUGGCGCACGGGUGCGUAACGCGUGGGAACCUGCCCUUAGGUUCGGAAUAACUCCCCGAAAGGGGUGCUAAUACCGGAUAAUGUCUUCGGACCAAAGAUUUAUCGCCUUUGGAUGGGCCCGCGUUGGAUUAGCUAGUUGGUAGGGUAAAAGCCUACCAAGGCGACGAUCCAUAGCUGGUCUGAGAGGAUGAUCAGCCACACUGGGACUGAGACACGGCCCAGACUCCUACGGGAGGCAGCAGUGGGGAAUAUUGGACCAUGGGCGAAAGCCUGAUCCAGCCAUGCCGCGUGAGUGAUGAAGGCCUUAGGGUUGUAAAGCUCUUUUACCCGGGAUGAUAAUGACAGUACCGGGAGAAUAAGCUCCGGCUAACUCCGUG